This 439-nucleotide ribosomal RNA is filed under the name uncultured bacterium. Its description in RNAcentral is "bacterial SSU rRNA". It matches the Rfam family "Bacterial small subunit ribosomal RNA", at positions 959 to 1397 of the family's 1533-position model. The record is from RNAcentral.
ACGCGUGGAACCUUACCAGGUCUUGACAUCCUUCGCUACUUCUAGAGAUAGAAGGUUCCCCUUCGGGGGACGAAGUGACAGGUGGUGCAUGGUUGUCGUCAGCUCGUGUCGUGAGAUGUUGGGUUAAGUCCCGCAACGAGCGCAACCCUUGAUCUUAGUUACCAGCAUUCAGUUGGGCACUCUAAGGUGACUGCCGGUGACAAACCGGAGGAAGGUGGGGAUGACGUCAAAUCAUCAUGCCCCUUAUGACCUGGGCUACACACGUGCUACAAUGGACGGUACAAACGGUUGCCAACCCGCGAGGGGGAGCUAAUCCGAUAAAACCGUUCUCAGUUCGGAUUGUAGGCUGCAACUCGCCUACAUGAAGCCGGAAUCGCUAGUAAUCGCGGAUCAGCAUGCCGCGGUGAAUACGUUCCCGGGCCUUGCACACACCGCCCGU